Molecule: long non-coding RNA, 252 nt
Organism: Mustela erminea (ermine)
Lineage: Eukaryota; Metazoa; Chordata; Mammalia; Carnivora; Mustelidae
Exons: 3
Source: RefSeq, a predicted model, not a curated record
CCCGAGUUCAAUGGGAAGCUGGGAAUUGGUCCAGGAAAGAAAAACAAGGGCAGGCAUUUGGAGGAUUUGAGGGAAAAAGAGAUUGCCAGGAGAAGCCUGUUUAAUCUGAUCACCUGGGUCCCUGGGCACCAGCACCCUUUCCUCUGCCUUCUUUCCCUGGCAGCCUCUGGCUACGACCGAUAUCCAUCACGCACAUGAGAGUCACCAAGACAGACCAUACCCUGGCCCAUAAAGAAAACUGACCAACAUUUG